Molecule: ribosomal RNA, 567 nt
Filed under: uncultured phytoplankton ESR 3
Lineage: Eukaryota
Description: bacterial SSU rRNA
Rfam family: Bacterial small subunit ribosomal RNA
Source: RNAcentral
CCUACGGGAGGCAGCAGUGAGGAAUUUUCUGCAAUGGGCGAAAGCCUGACAGAGCAAUACCGCGUGAGGGAUGAAGACUUACUGAGUUGUAAACCUCGGUACCUUAAGGAAGAAGAUCUGACGGUACUUAAGGUGGAAAGCAUCGGCUAACUCCGUGCCAGCAGCCGCGGUAAGACGGGGGAUGCAAGUGUUAUCCGGAUUUACUGGGCGUAAAGCGUCUGCAGGUGGUUUCUUAAGUCUACUGUUAAAUCUUGAGGCUCAACCUCAAAUCUGCAGUAGAAACUAGGAGACUUGAGUAUAGUAGGGGUAGAGGGAAUUUCCAGUGGAGCGGUGAAAUGCGUAGAUAUUGGAAAGAACACCGAUGGCGAAGGCACUCUACUGGGCUAUUACUGACACUCAGAGACGAAAGCUAGGGGAGCAAAUGGGAUUAGAUACCCCAGUAGUCCUAGCCGUAAACGAUGGAUACUCGAUGUUGGACGUAUCGACCCGUUCAGUAUCUUAGCUAACGCGUUAAGUAUCCCGCCUGGGGAGUACGCUCGCAAGAGUGAAACUCAAAGGAAUUGACGG